RNAcentral lists this long non-coding RNA (222 nucleotides) under Mytilus galloprovincialis (Mediterranean mussel). The record is from RNAcentral. Lineage: Eukaryota; Metazoa; Mollusca; Bivalvia; Mytilida; Mytilidae.
AAAACAAUGAACGAAAAACAAAUAUGUAACACAUAAACAAACGACAACCACUGAAUUACAGGCUCCUGACUUGGGACAGGCACAUACAUAAAUAAUGUGGCGGAGUUAACCAUGUAAGCGGGAUCCCAACCCUCCCCUUAACCUGGGACAGUGGUAUAACAGUACAACAUAAGAACGAACUAUAAAAAUUAGUUGAAAAAAGCUUAACUCAUCAGAUGGACA